UUGGUUGACUGUCAGAAAAAAAAAAAAAAAAAAAGAUGAAGAAAUCAAGAUGGUGAGUGCUGACACUUUAGACACAGGACCUGGAAGUUUCCUGCCUGAAGACAAGCUCUCACAGUAGCAGAAGGAGUUAUGCAAGCCGUCAAGAGAGAAAAGCAACCAAUAGCCCUACCCAGCCGGGGAGCCACAACAAUGAUCACAUGGUACGAUAUUCUGAAAAGUGUAACAGUGCCACUUACAUCCUGGGGGUGACCAACAGCCGCCUAAUUGGAUUUAAGGCCUGAUUAAUGGAAGGAAUUCACGCCUGACACUUUAAACAGCCUAUACUACCCAUGGCGCUGAGGCCAUGGGACCUGGAGGAGAAUCUACUACUGCAACUUCCUUACAUCAGUGUAAUUUCAAACUGCAUGCUGACUACUGAUCCUUAGACUCACAGUUGGUGGCACUAUUUUGAGAGCUGUGAGAAAUUGAGGCGGUGGAGCCUAGCUACAAGAAGGAGCCCCUCCGGCUGUGUCUUGUCCUAUCCAUUUCCUGCUGUCUUUCCACUCUUCUUGUCUGCCAUGGAGUGAGCCACCUCUCCUUCCGUGGGGUCCUGCUGCCCUGAUCUUCUGUCCAAGUUCAUGGAGCAAGGCCUAGGCACCGAGGACCAGAGACAUCCGAUAGCUUCUACCAGAUCCAAUAUCCUGCAGUUGAUACAUGGAGAAGCCAAGACCCGACCUCACAAAGAGAGACAGCGACUAUUCCAGAAAUGGCAGAUUGGCUUCGUCGUGUGUGCAAACUCUGAUCGCAUUGCCAUGGCUGCCUGGAGCAAGGGGUUGAAGAAGAACCAGCUUCAG
This is a long non-coding RNA of Peromyscus californicus insignis, 833 nucleotides long. RefSeq lists it as uncharacterized. The record is from RefSeq and is a predicted model, not a curated record. NCBI's taxonomy places the organism in Eukaryota, Metazoa, Chordata, Mammalia, Rodentia, Cricetidae. The transcript is spliced from 4 exons.